This 253-nucleotide ribosomal RNA is filed under the name uncultured bacterium. RNAcentral describes it as "partial 16S ribosomal RNA". It matches the Rfam family "Bacterial small subunit ribosomal RNA", at positions 524 to 776 of the family's 1533-position model. The record is from RNAcentral.
UACGGAGGGAGCUAGCGUUAAUCGAAAUUACUGGGCGUAAAGCGUGCGCAGGCGGUCUUGUAAGACAGUUGUGAAAUCCCCGGGCUUAACCUGGGAGCUGCAAUUGUGACUGCAAGGCUAGAGUGUGUCAGAGGGGGGUGGAAUUCCACGUGUAGCAGUGAAAUGCGUAGAGAUGUGGAGGAACACCGAUGGCGAAGGCAGCCCCCUGGGAUAACACUGACGCUCAUGCACGAAAGCGUGGAGAGCAAACAGG